This 202-nucleotide ribosomal RNA is filed under the name uncultured Bacillus sp. Its description in RNAcentral is "partial 16S ribosomal RNA". It matches the Rfam family "Bacterial small subunit ribosomal RNA", at positions 1179 to 1382 of the family's 1533-position model. Lineage: Bacteria; Bacillati; Bacillota; Bacilli; Caryophanales; Bacillaceae. The record is from RNAcentral.
AUGACGUCAAAUCAUCAUGCCCCUUAUGUUCUGGGCUACACACGUGCUACAAUGGCCGGUACAGACGGACGCAAAGCCGCGAGGUGGAGCAAAUCCUAAAAGCCGGUCUAGUUCGGAUUGCAGGCUGCAAUUCGCCUGCAUGAAGUCGGAAUCGCUAGUAAUCGCAGGUCAGCAUACUGCGGUGAAUACGUUCCCGGGCCUU